This 483-nucleotide ribosomal RNA is filed under the name uncultured bacterium. Its description in RNAcentral is "partial 16S ribosomal RNA". It matches the Rfam family "Bacterial small subunit ribosomal RNA", at positions 28 to 523 of the family's 1533-position model. The record is from RNAcentral.
GACGAACGCUGGCGGCGUGCUUAACACAUGCAAGUCGAACGAUGAAGCUGGAGCUUGCUCCGGUGGAUUAGUGGCGAACGGGUGAGUAACACGUGAGCAAUCUGCCCUUGACUCUGGGAUAACUGCGGGAAACUGUAGCUAAUACCGGAUACGAGGCUCGAAGGCAUCUUCGGGUCUGGAAAGAAUUUCGGUCAAGGAUGAGCUCGCGGCCUAUCAGCUUGUUGGUGAGGUAAUGGCUUACCAAGGCGACGACGGGUAGCCGGCCUGAGAGGGUGACCGGCCACACUGGGACUGAGACACGACCCAGACUCCUACGGGAGGCAGCAGUGGGGAAUAUUGCACAAUGGGCGAAAGCCUGAUGCAGCAACGCCGCGUGAGGGAUGAAGGCCUUCGGUUUGUAAACCUCUUUUAGCAGGGAAGAAGCGAAAGUGACGGUACCUGCAGAAAAAGCACCGGCUAACUACGUGCCAGCCGCCGCCGUAA